RNAcentral lists this ribosomal RNA (406 nucleotides) under uncultured bacterium. RNAcentral describes it as "bacterial SSU rRNA". It matches the Rfam family "Bacterial small subunit ribosomal RNA", at positions 11 to 429 of the family's 1533-position model. The record is from RNAcentral.
GUUUGAUCCUGGCUCAGAAUCAACGCUGGCGGCGCGCCUAACACAUGCAAGUCGAACGAGAAAGCGGGGGCAACCUCGUGAGUAAAGUGGCGUACGGGUGAGUAACACGUGGAUUAUCUACCCUUUUGUGGGGGAUAACCCUGGGAAACCGGGGCUAAUACCGCAUAAGUCCGAGAGGAGAAAGCAGCAAUGCGCAGGAGGAGGAGUCCGCGGCCGAUUAGCUAGUUGGUAGGGUAAAAGCCUACCAAGGCUCCGAUCGGUAGCCGGCCUGAGAGGGCACACGGCCACACUGGCACUGAAACACGGGCCAGACUCCUACGGGAGGCAGCAGUGGGGAAUCUUGCACAAUGGGGGCAACCCUGAUGCAGCGACGCCGCGUGAGCGAUGAAGCCCUUCGGGGUGUAAA